Molecule: long non-coding RNA, 347 nt
Organism: Scylla paramamosain (green mud crab)
Lineage: Eukaryota; Metazoa; Arthropoda; Malacostraca; Decapoda; Portunidae
Exons: 2
Source: RefSeq, a predicted model, not a curated record
GUGUGUGUGCUGAUGACUGACUUGCACUGAUGGUUUCAAAAUUGGUGUCACCGUCCACUCCUUUCAGCCAUGGCACCUGAGCUUGGUGCUAAUGUGCUGCUGCUCACUGCUUAUUUUCUAUUCACUCCACUCACCAGGCUUGAUACUGGGACUACUGUGAAUACUGGUUAAUUUCAUAUCUGCUGCUGCCACCAUUGGAGAAAAUUUUGUCCAAGGUUACUACUAUUUUAAACUUUGAAGCGUCACUUGUGUGUUAGACUCGUUGGCUGGCUGUGAUGCUGGUGAUGGAUGAGCUGCUGCAUUAUGUGAUAAGAGUUUGAAGGACUCCCCAAUUGGUUUGCUUUAUU